CGCAGCGUAGUGGUUACGUCUGCCUGCGACGCAGAAGGUUCCGGGUUCAAUUUCCGGUGAUGUCA
Phthorimaea operculella (potato tuberworm) is the source of this 65-nucleotide non-coding RNA. Lineage: Eukaryota; Metazoa; Arthropoda; Insecta; Lepidoptera; Gelechiidae. The record is from the annotation of a GenBank genome assembly.